RNAcentral lists this long non-coding RNA (216 nucleotides) under Lathyrus oleraceus (garden pea). RNAcentral describes it as "Pisum sativum (pea) long non-coding RNA (PSAT_LNC025603)". The record is from RNAcentral. Lineage: Eukaryota; Viridiplantae; Streptophyta; Magnoliopsida; Fabales; Fabaceae.
UUAAAAUGAAUUAAAAAUAACCAGAAAAGAGAAAGUUCACAAAAAAUAUCAAAUGACAAAAUAAAAAAUAUUAAAAAUCAUUUUCAGAAAUUAGAAUUAAAAAGGGAAAUAAUGCAAUUGGUCCCAUAUUUUUUGGAAUUAAAAUGAAAGAGUUAUGAAUUUUUUAAAUAAAAUGAAAUAAAAGUAAAUAAAAAGAAAUUAAAUCAGAAAAUAGAA